Long non-coding RNA from Equus asinus (donkey), 1617 nucleotides. NCBI's taxonomy places the organism in Eukaryota, Metazoa, Chordata, Mammalia, Perissodactyla, Equidae. The record is from Ensembl.
UGGAGAAACCGAGGCACAAAAGGGAAGCUAGCAUUCAGGAUCACACCGCUGGUAAACAGCACAGCUGAGAGCCGGUGUCGUCUGAGUCCGGAGUCUGCCAUCCUCCUUCCACGCAGUGUGGCCUCCUGGACGUGGGCUAGCUCUCCUGCUAGCGAGUUAGGAAGAGCAGCAAGUUCACAGUACAAGAACAAGGAUGCCAGUCCUGGCUCUUACUCACCAGACGUAUGUCUUGGACAGUGGCCUUCGGUGCUGAGCACUCAGGUUGCCAGUUUGUGAACUGAGGGUACUGACUCCCAGGCAGCUUUCCUCCUAGGGUCUCUACAGGAGCAUCAAGAGAGACAAUGCACUGGAAGGCGCUUUGCGAGGUAAUCCAGCCAGGUGAAUGUAAGGGAUUGUCAUUCCCUUGGGAUGCCCAGGACUGAGGUGGGAUGGUCAUCCUGUGUGAAGGUGACAUACAUGAAGCUAGUGGCCACAAUCGCUACCACAGAACUAAGAAGCAAAGAGCAGUGGUUUCCAGUAUUAAAGUCACACCUGCCAGCAUUCCUCAUUGCAUCCCACCCGGCCGCUCCCCAUCUCCCCAGCUGGAAUUGUUUAAUGGGAUGGCUAGCUUUCCCUGGGGUGAGUCUGAUGGUCAGUUGUUGUAUUUUUCACUUGCCAAGGACAAAUCCAGGAGUAUGUGGACUUCAGGCACAGCAUGAUUCAGGGUCAAACAAUACCAGCAGGCUCCAUCUCUUGAUUCUGUUCCCCGUGGGGCAGCUCCGUCCUCAGGCCUCUCUGGCCAUUUCAGGCUCCCACACCCCAAGUGCCAGCUCAGAGGAAAAGAGGCCCCUUCUCUGAUAGCUCAGAGUUCCCAGAGUUGAGUCAGGUUGGCUCUGAUUAGACCCGCUUGGGUCACCUGAUGAUCCCUAAACCAACACGAUGGCAAAAGGGAUGGGAAGAGCUGACUGGUGGAGCUCCCGGCACAGCUCCUCCCCUGGCACUUGAAGCACAUGAACCGGAAGUAAAGUAGGGGGGGCCUCCCCAGAACAAAAUCAGGGUGCUUUUGCCUCCAGAAGAAGGUGUAGGAAAUAAUAAAAAUAAAAUACAAAUGAACCCCUCUGGCUUGGCCCAGCUCCCUCCCAUUAGCCACUGCGGGCAGGUGGUUUGGGCCUACAGAGCAGCAUACCCUCCUCCCAGGGAGAUCUCUCUGUGCUCAGAUCCCGGCACCAGCAGGUCCUUCUAGUUGUGGCAUGUGGGACGCUGCCUCAGCGCGGUCUGAUGAGCAGUGCCAUGUCCGCGCCCAGGAUUCGAACUAACGAAACACUGGGCCGCCUGCUGCGGAGUGCGCGAACUUAACCACUCGGCCACAGGGCCAGCCCCUAGAGGGUAUUUUGGAUUUGGCAGAAUAGCCUUCGUCUGUGAAGAGUAGAACUUAAUUAUCAAAAGCUGAACCGGAGCGAGCAAUCCAUCACUGGGUGACACAUCCUUGCCUGUGUUCAUUUGAAAAACAUUUUUUUGUGGCUCUUGGAAGAGAGGGGAUAAAAAAGCUGUCAGAACCAAAAAAGAAAAAAAAGAAAAAAAAAGAAGAGGAAGGGAAAAGAAGGAAAAAAUCUCUCUUGGCAUUCCUCAUUCCACAAC